UAUACGUUACUGUUCAAAAGUUUGGGGUCAGUACGAUUUCUUAUUUUUGAAUGAAGUCUCUCACGCUCAUUAAGGCUGCAUUUAUUUUUUAUCAAAAAUACAGUAAAAACAGUAACACUGUGAAAAAUUAUUGCAAAAUAGCUGUUUUCUAUUUGAAUAUUUUAAAAUGUAAUUUAUUUCUGUGAUGGCAAAGCAUUACUCCAGUCUCCACUGUCACAGGAUCGUUCUAAUAUCCUGAUUUGAUGCUCAAAAAAAGAAAAAAAAAAAAAAGAAAAAUAGUGCUGGUUAAUAUUUUUUGUGGAAACCAUGAAUUUUUUUCCAGGAUUCUUUGAUAAAUAGAAAGUUCAAAAGAACAGCUUUUUUUUUUUUUUUUUUUUUUUAAUAGAAACCGUUUGUAACAUUAUAAAUGUCUUUACUGUCACUUUUGAUCAAUGAGUCCUUACUGAUUUUUUUUUUUUUUUUAAUCUUACUGACCCCAACAUUUUAAACGGUAGUAGUAGUGUACUAAACACUACACUUCUGUAUUACAUGUACUAGACUGAAGUACAGUUCCAUUCUAUUGUAUUUACUAAUGUAAUGUUUUCGUCCGUGUAACAUUUGCAUGUGUACCGUAGACUGUAGAGCGGUACUUUCAUUUGAAGACGCGGUGCAUCGAGAUGCGCUAACCGGAGCCGAACACCUUUACCUGUUGCACUCGCGUCUCGCGCAUGACACGGCAUUUGAGUGGCGCAUAGAACACAAAACUGAUGGAAGCGGCUCCGGUGAAGAACAGUGUCUGGAUCUAAAUCCUUCAGACGACACACAGAUAAUAUCUACCUCGCUCAGGUCCUGAAGCGGAGAGCUGUGUUGGUAUGGUAACAGGAAUAUCAGCAGAGGGGGGAAGGGAGAAAGGGAAGGAGUUGAGGAGAGGUGAGAGAAGGAGAAUGAGGAAAAGAGCAGAGAGACAGGAAAAGCAGAGAUGUGAGCAGCGUGCCCCCUGAUGAGUCACCUCUGUCAUCAGAGCACCGCAAAGGGAGAGAAAGACACACACACACAGAGAGAGAGAGAGAGAGACAGACAGCAUCUCUUCUGCAAAGUCUCACCCCAUCCUCAACCCCCACCACAAACACACACACAAACGUAACAAAAAUCGACAGACUUGAAGAUGAAAAUUUACAUUUUUAUCUUUUUUACUCACUCUCUUUCGUUCACUCCAACUAUCUACCCCCUCCCCCAUCUCUCUCUUUCGCUCUCUCAGAAUCAAAUUUCUAAGAUCCAAAGCGUAUCGAAUGUGCGGCAUUUCUUUGUGCACUGAAGAGAGGAGAGGAACAGUGAUGCUUUCUGAAAUACCAGAGGAAGUGGAAGACUCCCCCAGCAGAGCAGCAAAAUUAUGGAAAUAGAUAAAUAAAUG
Molecule: long non-coding RNA, 1390 nt
Organism: Ctenopharyngodon idella (grass carp)
Lineage: Eukaryota; Metazoa; Chordata; Actinopteri; Cypriniformes; Xenocyprididae
Exons: 3
Source: RefSeq, a predicted model, not a curated record